AGUGAACGCUGGCGGCGUGCUUAACACAUGCAAGUCGAACGAGAACGGAUUAUAGCUUGCUAUAAUUGUCAGCUAAGUGGCGCACGGGUGAGUAAUGUAUAGGUAAUAUGCCUCUUACUAAGGGAUAACAAAUGGAAACGUUUGCUAAUACCUUAUACUCCUUAUUAACAUAAGUUAAUAAGGGAAAGAUUUAUUGGUAAGAGAUUAGCCUGUAUUGUAUCAGUUAGUUGGUGGGGUAAUGGCUUACCAAGACUAUGACACAUAACUGGUUUGAGAGGAUGAUCAGUCACACUGGAACUGAGACACGGUCCAGACUCCUACGGGAGGCAGCAGUGGGGAAUAUUGCACAAUGGACGAAAGUCUGAUGCAGCAACGCCGCGUGGAGGAUGACACAUUUCGGUGCGUAAACUCCUUUUAUAUGAGAAGAUAAUGACGGUAUUAUAUGAAUAAGCACCGGCUAACUCCGUGCCAGCAGCCGCCGUAA
RNAcentral lists this ribosomal RNA (484 nucleotides) under uncultured bacterium. RNAcentral describes it as "partial 16S ribosomal RNA". It matches the Rfam family "Bacterial small subunit ribosomal RNA", at positions 29 to 523 of the family's 1533-position model. The record is from RNAcentral.